Molecule: long non-coding RNA, 996 nt
Organism: Octopus bimaculoides (California two-spot octopus)
Lineage: Eukaryota; Metazoa; Mollusca; Cephalopoda; Octopoda; Octopodidae
Source: RefSeq, a predicted model, not a curated record
UCUUAUGAAGUGACAGGCCAAACUUUUCUCGAAAACAUGCUUUUUCGAAGCCGUCUUUUCGUAAACAUUAAUUAACGCCAACAAAUUUAUAUAAUUAUAAUUACAAAAAGUGUAACAUUAACAACAAUAACAACGCCCAAGUCAUUGCCGAUCCAGCAGACCUAUGAUCGAAGGUAUUCCAGCCACCCAACUAAUUGAUGAUGUACGUGAAAGAGCAGGUGUUUGUGGUAACAUGGAAGAUAAAGGGCUUGAAAUACGAAGAAUUGAAUGGGAUCGAGAAGCAUUUGCACAGGAUCUGCAAUUAUCGAUUCGUAGGAUAGCUAACAUAUUAGAAUUUCCCCAUGCAUCAAUCCAUGGAAUCCUGCGAAAUGAUUAGAACACAAAAGUUUUUCACAACUUAAACGCAGCGGAUCAUCCACGCAGAUCAGCGAUAAAUUGAAAGCGCCGAUUUAAUCAACAAAAUUCUGUUCAGUGAUGAAGCGACCUUCCACACACGUGGAAAAGUUAAUCGUCAUAACAGUUACAUUUGGGAAAGUGAGAAACCAACUGAACCGCUUGAAUGGAAACGAGACACACUGAAAGUGAAUGACUGGCUUAGUAUGAGAAAGUCAAAGGACUUUAUUUUUUGCAAAGACUACGGGUGACGGGAACUGUGUAUAUUGAUAUGCUUGAACAAUUCUUCGAACCUCAACUUCUCACAGGUGGCAUUCUUGAAACUAGUUUUUCAACAGGAUGGAGCACUGUGCCAUUACACAAAGAUUGUACGUAAUUAUCUUGACAGACGCUUCCCUCGUCAUUGGAUUGGUCGUGAGGGAACGCAACUAUGGGCAACACCCUCAUCCGAUUUAACACCAUUAGAACAUUUUCGCUUGGGAGUGCAUUAAGUCUAUGGUGUAGAAGAAUUAGAGAUGCAGUAGCGCUUCGAAAUCUUAUUAUUGAUGUAGUUCAAAACAACACUUCAAAUGCUGGAAAUUGUGUUCCAACAAGCAAUUUAUC